CCUACGGGAGGCUGCAGUGGGGAAUAUUGCACAAUGGGCGCAAGCCUGAUGCAGCCAUGCCGCGUGUGUGAAGAAGGCCUUCGGGUUGUAAAGCACUUUCAGCGGGGAGGAAGGCGGUGAGGUUAAUAACCUCAUCGAUUGACGUUACCCGCAGAAGAAGCACCGGCUAACUCCGUGCCAGCAGCCGCGGUAAUACGGAGGGGGCAAGCGUUAAUCGGAAUUACUGGGCGUAAAGCGCACGCAGGCGGUCUGUCAAGUCGGAUGUGAAAUCCCCGGGCUCAACCUGGGAACUGCAUUCGAAACUGGCAGGCUAGAGUCUUGUAGAGGGGGGUAGAAUUCCAGGUGUAGCGGUGAAAUGCGUAGAGAUCUGGAGGAAUACCGGUGGCGAAGGCGGCCCCCUGGACAAAGACUGACGCUCAGGUGCGAAAGCGUGGGGAGCAAACAGGAUUAGAUACCCUUGUAGUC
RNAcentral lists this ribosomal RNA (465 nucleotides) under uncultured Klebsiella sp. Its description in RNAcentral is "bacterial SSU rRNA". It matches the Rfam family "Bacterial small subunit ribosomal RNA", at positions 338 to 795 of the family's 1533-position model. The record is from RNAcentral. Lineage: Bacteria; Pseudomonadati; Pseudomonadota; Gammaproteobacteria; Enterobacterales; Enterobacteriaceae.